GUUUAAACUCCUCUGAAAUACACAGUUACUCAAUAACAAACAGUACUUUUAAUGAGACUGUUAAGUAUGGACCUGGUUUUGUAAGAACAAGGGUUAUACUUAAUGCGCCAGUUGGAUUAUCAGCUUUUCCAUUUUUUGGAUAGAUAGAAAUAAAAGGUCUCUCAACUUCAGCUGCUUCAUUUUAUUUUGAGAUCAUGUAAUAUUUGAAAGUAGAUUUAUAUUUCAAGAUAGUUAUCAAAUAAAGUGUUUUUGCUGA
Parasteatoda tepidariorum (common house spider) is the source of this 256-nucleotide long non-coding RNA. RefSeq lists it as uncharacterized. The record is from RefSeq and is a predicted model, not a curated record. Lineage: Eukaryota; Metazoa; Arthropoda; Arachnida; Araneae; Theridiidae.